CGGUACGGGUGAGUAACACGUGGGUAAUCUACCUCUUAGUGAGGAAUAACCCUGGGAAACCGGGGCUAAUACCGCAUAAGCCUGAGAAGGGAAAGCAGCAAUGCGCUGAGAGAGGAGCCCGCGGCCGAUUAGCUAGUUGGUGAGGUAAGAGCUCACCAAGGCAUAGAUCGGUAGCCGGCCUGAGAGGGCACACGGCCACACUGGCACUGAAACACGGGCCAG
RNAcentral lists this ribosomal RNA (222 nucleotides) under uncultured bacterium. Its description in RNAcentral is "partial 16S ribosomal RNA". It matches the Rfam family "Bacterial small subunit ribosomal RNA", at positions 100 to 334 of the family's 1533-position model. The record is from RNAcentral.